Molecule: long non-coding RNA, 2238 nt
Filed under: Ananas comosus (pineapple)
Lineage: Eukaryota; Viridiplantae; Streptophyta; Magnoliopsida; Poales; Bromeliaceae
Description: long non-coding RNA (ACOM_LNC039896)
Source: RNAcentral
CCGUGUGAACUCGCGCUCGGCCCUGUAGUAAAAUGGGGGUGAGAACUAACUUCCUUAGUUCCCAGUGGGUUCGGCCGCCGACUCCGCCGAUCUCCCCACUAGGUCCAAGUCGGGCACAAGUAGAUAAUCGAUAGAUAGAUAGAUAGAUAGGAAAGCGGUAAAUGACAGAAGUAAAGCUACUCUACUAUGCCCAAUCAUAAAUAUAUGAAUGCAUGUACAAUGAAAUGGAUAAACAACAAUCCCAUUAUCAUGUCCAAAGGUAAAGUUAUUUACUCGUUCACCAAUCUCAUUUACUUGUUUCUCAAUCUCGUGGCUUCCCUGAAGGAGCCUACUGCUCACUAGCCAUCUCGAAGGUAGGGAGAGUCAACUCGCACUACGAACCGAGACCGUCUGGCGGGGCCAUAAUAGGCAAUCCCUUGGGACCCGAAAUCGGCAAUCCCACGUGACCAACUCCGGAGCGCACUACUUGUGUGGGGCUUCCAUCACAAGAUUUAAAACAGACCGUGAGCAUGAUCCAAUCCUCGUCUCGAGAAUACCCUAUCCUCUAGGGUUACAACCAUCAUAGAGUCCAUAGGUUUCAUAUACACUAUGACUCACAUAUGUCACUUGUUCUUUUGUUUACUAUCAACUAGAUGCCACUCGUUCUUUACAAGUUUCCAAUGCAAUAGCCAAUGCAUUAUUAAAUUUCCAUCCACACUUAUCAUCUCAUUAUAGGGUUCCACAUCACAUAUAUAAACCUCAAGCAUGCUAGAUAUAAGUAUUAAGCCAAAUACAUUAUUCUACCAAAGAACAUGCAAGGUAUAGGACCAAACCAUCAUUUAUCACCCUAUAAUGCAAGAUGUCAAUAUGUCAAUAUGCAAUUUGAUCAAUAUAAAACUUAGACAUAAAAGGGAGCCCAAUUGAUUCGGGAUGGACACCACCCACCUUUUAUAGCGUUCCGAUUGCUCGUCGUCACUCGCAAUCGGCCUCCCGCGGCACACGCCGCUCGGCUUGACCCAAUCCGCGUGCGACCGCCAAAUGACCUCCGAUCCGCGAUCCGAAAAUUAAAGGUCUUCGGUUUUCUAUUACGAUGCUUCAAAUCCGUUUCCAGGACUUUACGACGUCGCCUCGGCCCUCUAGGCGGAAACGAAGCCUAAACGCCCGUUUCUUUAAUAACUUUGUACCGGCUCAAUGAAUCGCCGAACCGUCGCUUCCAACGCGUUCAGUGACCUAUCAAUUAGGUUUACGAAGGGUCAAAUUAGAUCAAACCCCACCUAAUUUGUAAACCCCCAUUUUCACACCCUAGCCUCAACAUAUGCUCCAAACAAUCCAAAUAUUAAGGAUUUAACAAGCUAACUUCACAUUAGAGGCUAUUAGAACACUUAAACUUAAGGAUUAAGCCAAAUCCCAAAAGCUUACCCCAAUGUGAACGCCGCAACGAAAACACGUCGCUCCAACGGGCGCACGAAAGCUCAAUCCGUCGCCUCCAACGCGUUCGCAAGCUCGAUCUCCACCAACGCCGCGAAUUUGGGCGAGAAAUAUAGAGAGAUGAGAGAGAUAUUUAGAGAGAGAAAGUGAGGAUUUCUCUCACUACACCAUGAACGUGUGGUGUUGUGGAGUGGUGGUGGCUGUGAAGAGGAAGAAGCCUAGUAGCUUCUACUUAUAGUCAACACAUCAAUAGUAGUGUACACUAUUCACAUCAGGCAGCUCGAAAUCUGAUAUCUUUCGCCGGAGCUCCCUGAAUAUCCGUUUGAGCUCAAAUCUGACAGUCAUAUUCGGUUUUACUUAAAGAGUCCAAAGAAAUUUUAAUAUUUCAGUUUCGACCCCGUUUGGUCACCGAAAACUAUACCGAACUGCAAUCUUUAUCAGAUAGCUUCCGGAUUUUAUUUCUCACUCUACGGGUGUUAGAAAAAUAUGAAACCUUAAAUAUAGCCUCAUAGAAAUAUUUCUGACAUAUCCUCCAAUUUUCAUAAUUUUCCGAGACUGUGCAUUUUCUGCUAAUAUUUCUGUCCCGUUUCCAACAGAAAAUUCCAGAUCUUCUGUUUUCAGCCCGAUUUCAGCACAAGUCACUUCUGACUUAUGUUUUACUUCUCUAAAUCCAAUAAAAUAGUGUCUCAUACUAUUUUUAUUUAUUUUCACUUUUAUAUUAAAAAUCCGGUAUGUUACAUUCCACCGCAGCCUCACCGGAACCAUUUAAAUGGCUUUCCAAUCGAACGUACACCGUAACCUCAUGAUUUUCGAAGUCCGGUACCUUACAUC